RNAcentral lists this long non-coding RNA (295 nucleotides) under Hordeum vulgare. RNAcentral describes it as "long non-coding RNA (HVUL_LNC010550)". Lineage: Eukaryota; Viridiplantae; Streptophyta; Magnoliopsida; Poales; Poaceae. The record is from RNAcentral.
GACAUAGUGGACAAUGAUUACAGGCACAUGAAUCAUUGAAGAGACAAUUAUUUUGUUGGUCACAGACACUUCAUCAGACCUAUUAUUCUGACUUUUCUCUACUUGUGUUUGUGAAAAUUCUGAACAUUCUACCAUGUGGAAAGUUUAUCCUACACCUGUAUAUUUAGUUGGACAUUUUGUUUUAUAUACUGAAGUACGUGGACAAUCUAUUCUACCUAUGUAUAUUUACUGCCACAUUUUGUUGUAUAUGCUCGAGUGUGCCCACAGAGAACUGKCUUUUUAUUAAUGUCACCUA